GACAAGAGAGACAAGGUGGGUGGACAGAGGUAGCAAGGUUGUCACCCCAAGGGCCUGUUCCGGGGCCCGUCACCAUGACUGUCAUACCCACACUGAUGCUGCAAUUAACCCUUGUUCAGAAACGGAUCUCCGUGUAAACGACUCUGAGCGGGUCAACCUUCCUUGCUUUUAUUUGUACUCGCGGAGGCUGAAGUGGCAAUAGGAAGCCUGUAACAAAGAGGUGUGGUGCCAGAGCAUGGACGAUAAAGUCCAAAGAUUGAACUAAGUCUCAGGUCCGCCACUCACACUUCUGCCACCUUAAGCAAGUUACUCUGCCUCCAGGGUACCUUUUCCUCGUCUGUAAAAUGGGCACAACAAUAACACCAACAUCUCUGAAUAGUUGUGAUAAACAAAUGAGGUAUGUAAAGUGCUUUGUAACUGUAACGUGCUGCACAGACGUUCACUAUUAUUAAUGACCUAAAUUUUGCUGCAAGGGAAGCCUCAGGCCAGAUUUACAUUUCUGGCCGACGAUGACUCAUACAACUUCCCUCACCAGAGCCACCUGGUUGACAAAAUAGGCCCCGGCAUCAUUCUGUGGUCCAACCGCUUGAACAAUCUAUUGAUUUCCUCUUGUGAAAUGUUACCUGCUCUGGGCAUACGGCCAGAAGGACCUUCACUGGGCAGCAGAGAACAUAGGACAUAAAGCAGCUCACAGGCAUCUGAGUCUGGCCCCAAAAGCCACUCCCAGAGGAUGCUUUGCACAGCAAUAUCACUGCUGAUAAUACUUCCCCAGAGGUCACAGGAAGUUACACAGCCAGAUGCAAGGAUGGCAAUACCUAUGCCCUGUGGCUCCUGCCCAACCCUUUUCCGUCCUGAUGGAGGGGAAGGUGACAAGAAUAGGCUCAAAGGAUGACUCAGCUCCAGUGACUAAGGGCCCAUUGAUGGCUAUGAAAAGGAAUGUCCAGUGCAGCUGCAGGUCCACUUGAGCCCCCCAAGCAAGCGCUCUCAAGCCCGCUGUCUUUGAGCCCAGUGUUUUCAGAGCCUGUUGCUGCAGCGAUGUCUGGAAUCCUCAACACCUGCACGUCAGCUUCCUGGGCAUUUCCACUCCCCUCCCUCGGCCCCCACCCUCCUCUUCCAUUUGCAUCUGAAAUGCAGCUGCUGGGGCCCUAUAGAGGGGAGCCAAAUGGACAGGAAUCUCCUUGUUUGCUCUCCCUCCCCUGAGUCAAACAGAAUCUGAAGCUCC
Molecule: long non-coding RNA, 1222 nt
Filed under: Equus asinus (donkey)
Lineage: Eukaryota; Metazoa; Chordata; Mammalia; Perissodactyla; Equidae
Description: lncRNA (ENSEASG00005024951.1)
Source: RNAcentral